This is an RNA transcript of Apis cerana (Asiatic honeybee), 4078 nucleotides long. It is a transcript of the gene named nuclease SbcCD subunit C, with no coding region annotated. Lineage: Eukaryota; Metazoa; Arthropoda; Insecta; Hymenoptera; Apidae. The record is from RefSeq and is a predicted model, not a curated record.
UGACUAUAUAACAAUAUUAUAAAGUUUAACAUAAUGACUGAAUUUUGUAACGGAAUGAUACAAUAUUUGAUAGCAAAUUGUUAAAAUUUGAUAUAAUAUAGUUUAAUUGUAAUAAUAUUCACACAAAUAGUUAUAUAUACUAUAUUCAUAAAAAAAAUACAAAAAUGGUGGAUUUACACGGGAAGGAUAAAGGAAAUAUUUCAUUACCAGCAAAAUUACAAUCAUACGAAAAUGAUGAUGAAAAAAAACCAACGAUUAUUAAUAUGCAAAAAACUUUUUAUACUAUUAAAAUCGCAGACAUUGAAUCUAGAAUAAAUAGUUAAUAUUUAGGUUAGAUGAAAGAAAUGAAGAAUUACUAGAGGAAAUCGAAACUACAAAUGAACUUUCAGCUACAAUAGAUACAGAAACAAUUGAAGAAAUUACAAGUUUAAACAAACAAUUUUUAACACAAAAUAGUUUGGUAGAAAGUUUAAAAAAUAAAAUCAAUACUAUAGAAAAUGAUCGAAUAGAAAAUCAACGAUUACAUGAAGAGAAAAAAGAAUUAUUUAAUCAAAAUUAUAAAAAAACGAAAUUUGAAUUAAUUUCUCAAGCCAAAGUUCUAAAUGCGGAAAUCAAUGUUUUGCAAGAUUUUAAAAGAGUACAAAAUAUAUUACAAGAAAAACUUGAAGAGAAUGAGGAACAAAUGGUAAAAAAUGAAAAGAAAGUAAAAGAAACUAUAGAAAUUGUUAAUCGAAAAAUUGAAUUUGAUAAAGAAAUGUAUAAAAAUUUUAUUCAAUUUAUAUAUUAUCAAAAAUUGAUUUUAUUUAUUUUAUCAUGAAUUAAGAAAAUAAAAGAAAAAAAGCUUAAAAAUGAAAUGUACGAUUGUCUUCUUGAUUUGGCAGCACAAUUUCAAAUGCAAGUUAAUAAACAUAUAAAUUUACCAAAUCAAAGAUUGAUGAGAGAAAAUAUUAUGUUGAAACAUGAAUUACUACAAAUUUCUGAGAAUAUUUCAUCAAAAAUGGAUACUGAACUUUAUUUAAAGUAAUAGUUAAAUUUUAUCAUUUUACAAUGAAUAUGUAAUUUAAAAUAUUUUCUUUUUUUAUAUAUUUGCUAUAUUUGAAAUAUUUUUUAUUAAUAAUCAAUUUAUAGAAGCAAUUUAUUAAAUGAUAUUAAACAUAUUUAUUAUUUAGCAAAUUUUUUAUUUAUUAAUUAGUAAUAAUAGCUUAUUAAUUAGUAAUUAGUAAUAAUAAUUUUAUUAAUUAAUAAUAAUAUAAUAUUAUAUAAUAUUAACAGUAUAUUUUUUUCGUUUAUUCAUAAAAAUUAUUUGUUUUUUUUGUUUAAUCAAAAAAAAUUAGCAAAUGAUUAUAUUUCCCAUUUUAUAUCUAUAACUAUAUAUUAUUUUUUUGUAUUACAUUAUAUUAUAUUUUAUAUUACAUUAUAUUAUAUUUCUUAGAUUUUAUUAUAUUUCUUAUUAAAAAUCAAAUUCUAUCUACAUAGAUAGAAUUUCAAUAUAAUUUAAUAUAUAAAUUUCUUAUAAUUCAAUUAAUUUAUAGAUGUUUAUAUCUCUUUCUUCUUGUUUAUGCUUUUAUUGUGUAGAAACUCACAAAUUAAUUAUAAAGAAAAAUUGGAUACACAAUCUAUGUUUAUAAAAGAUAAUAUAAAAAUUUCAAAAAUACAAGAUAUAAUAUUAGAAUAUAUAAAAAAAAAAUUAGAAAAUGCAAAAAAAAACUUAUCACAUAUUUCUAUUCCUGAGGAUGCAAAACAAAGAGAAUACAUGAUAUUGAUAGAAAAAACUAUUUAUGAGCAAUGCAAUAUUCAUUUUCGUCUCGCAACAUUAAAAACAAUACUUCAUAAAAUAAGAUUGAAAAUUAAUCUUGCAAAACAUUUUUUGAAAUUAAUAGAAUCCAAAAUAAGAGCAGUUUUUGAAACUAUUUAUGAUUUAAAGUAUAAUGCAACAUGUUUACUAAAAGUAGUAUAUUUUUUAAUAAUUUAAUUCUUAUUUAAUUUUUAAAAUUUUAUUUUAAAAAUUUUAAAAAUUUUAAAUAUCUAAAUAAUAUUAAGAAUUUACAUAUUUAUUUUAAUUAUAUCAAAUAUUAAUUUCAUACAUUAAUUAAUUUAAAUUGUAUAUUUUAGUAUCCUUAUAGUCGUUGGGAUUUAAUAACAAUGAGUUGUAUUGAAGUGUUUCUGUUUUUGAGGGAUAUACUUAUUAAAGGACAAAUCAAAUUUGAAAAUUAUGUUGUUGAGUCGUAAGUAAUAGUAAAGUAGUAAUGAAAUUUUCGUAAAUAUUCAUUAAACAAAAUAAUUAUUAACUAUUAAUUUAUUAUUAAUUAAAUGAUUAUUUAGCGAUUGUACUUUGUUUCUUUUUAAUAUAUUUAUUAAUAUAUUUAUAUUUUUAAAUUUUUUAUUAUAUAUAUGUUAAUUAAGUAAAAUUAUUUUUAAAAAUAGUUUAUUUUUAUUUCUCUAAUCUAAAUUAUCAAAAAUUGAUAAAUUGAUUUUUCAAUCAUAAAUUUUAUAGCAUUAGGAUAUAUAAAAACCAAAAUAUAUAAUAAUAUAAAGCAUUUAAGAAUAUAUUUUUAUAAAAAAUUAUUUUAUAUUUUUAAUCUUUUUUAAAAUAAUUGAAAAAUUAUUUUGUAUAUGUAAAUAUAUCUAAAUAUAUAUAUAUGUAUAAAAUUAUUUUUUAUAUGUAUCUAUAUAAUAUAUAUAUUUAUAUAAAGUUAUUAAAAUAUUAAAGUUAUUUAUUAAAUUAACAUAUAAAUAAAUUAAGGACGGAAUCUAUACCUGACAAAUUAGAAUCUACUUCAAAUAUAAAAGAAAAUUCAAAUAUAGAAGAUAUUAAUUUAAUAAUGUUUAUAACAAAAGAAUCCUUAAGUAAAGAAAUUUUAAAUAAAGUAAAUAAAUAUUUUUAUUAAAUUAAUAUAAUUAAAUAUAAUUUUUUAAAUUUUAUAUUUUAUAUACUAAUGAUUUAUAAUUAUUAGACAAAAAAAAUUGAAAAUUUGGAUGAGAAGAAAGAAACAUUGAUUGAAAAUAGCGAAAUUAAUGAAACUAUUUCCGAACAAUUUGUUGAAACUAUUUCCGAAGAUAAUAUUGAUUUUAAUUUAGAAAAUAAUUACGAAUUAUCUAAAGAUGACGAAGAUGAAUCGAUAUUUGAUAUUGCUGGAGAAUAAAAUCUGAUAUUACAAAUAUUUUUUAUUGUUAAAUGUUUUAUCAAAUAAUUUUUUAAAAAUAUUAUAUAUAAAAUUAUUAAUAAAUUAAUAAAUUAAAUUAUUAAUAAUUAAUAAAUUUAAAAAAUAUACUUAUAUUUAUAAAUUAAGUAAUAUAAAAUUUUUCACAUAUUUUAGCCAUUAUAUUUUUAAGAAGUAUAUAAAUAUUUUUAUUUUUUAACAAAAUUAUAAUUUUUUAUUUUUCAUGUAAAUUAAAAAUAAUUCAUUUGUUAUUGAUAUAUUGUUACUAUAAUAAUAGUCAUUAUAUUCAAUAUUUGUUUAUAAUUUCAUAACAAAACAUUUAUAAAAAAAACUUUAUAUAAUAUUUUCUUUUUAUUUUCAUUUAUAGAUUGUAUUCAUUUAAUUUAAUAUGAGAAAUAAAAAACUUUGUUAUAUAUAUAAAUAAAUAUAUAUAUAUUAUAUAUAUUAUAUGUAAAUAUAAUAAGUUAUAUAAAAAGUAUCUUAUUAAUAUUUUAUUAAUAUUAAUAAAAUAAUUAAUAUUAUAUUAAAAAUUAUAUAAAAAUGCUAUUUAUUUAUUAUAUAUAUUAAUCUAAAAUUAUAUAUUACUGUAAUUAUUAAUUAUUUUUUAUUUAUUUAUAUAAUUUAUGUAUAAUGAUACAAAAUAUACAAUGAUACAAAAUGUCUCAUUUAAAUAACUUGAAUAUUUGUUUAAAUAUAUACAUAUUUUCUAAUAAUAAAAAAAAAAGUUUGCUUAAGAAAUAUCUGAUUAAGAUUAUAAAUUAAGAUUAAUAUAAAUUUUAAUUAAUAUUUAUAAUUUUUAUUUAAUUAUGAAAAAAUAUUUUUCACCAUAUUAAUAUAAAUUUAUAUAUUUGCAUUAAUAUAUAUAUAUAUCAAUAACACAAAUUGUAUAUUCAAUAAAAAAAGUAAUAAAAAGUAUA